GCUCUCUGGCUCGUGCCCCCAGCUGAGGGGCUCGUACCUGUCCCGCAGCCGGUUUUGGGUGGCUCACGGAUGAAUCCCUUUGCCUAUAGGUGCCACUGUUGCUCUGCACACACGCCCGAGUCGCCAAUGCCCUUCAGUAGCAAACCCAACCUUGAAAAAGCAAACCUAAAUCACGGUGGCUAAAAUGUUGCAGACGUAGAACUCCAGCCAGACCAUGGCCAGGGGCUUGUCCAUGCCAAGACUAAGAUGGAAAUGAGAAACCACAAUAAUCAUAGAGGCUUAUGAUUCCAUGGAAUCCAUCCUCGAGGUGGUACCAGGUCACCCGGACACCGUUGUCCUCCAGCCUCUUCUUGUACAACAAGCCGUCGUCCCGCAGCACGUCGUACUCACAGGUCAGGAUGAAAGAUUCUGGCAGCUGCUGAACAACAGAGUCUUCAGCCAACAGAGGGCACAGGUUGGGCUCACAGAAUCUCUUCACCGUCUCAUAAACUUCAGCUAUAAAAUCAGUGGGCCUACGUGGUCUCACACCUCUGACCUUAAAUUUCUCAGGGAUGUUGUCUGGACUCACCCACUUCGUGUACUUCACCCUCAUGUCUGGAGGAAUAUGAGAGCCCUCCAAGACCUCUUGCAUGUGCAGUGCAUCUCCAUUUAGGUACAGCAAAGCAAAGAAAGCAGCACGUUCUCGGAAUAACAAGGGGACUCCUCGGUUUUGAUGAUAAGACGGUAAAUUGAAGUCCAGGGCCUGAAGGCCCGGGUAGAGCAGGAUCUGAGCACGCAGUUUGGGGAAGUCUGACCUGCCUGCAAGGGUCUGGCUCACAGCAGCUGCCAGGUUGCCCCCAGCACUGUCCCCACAGACAGUGACCCGGGCAGGGUCCACGCCGUAGUGCUCCAGGCGGAGCAGGAAGUGCUGGGUGGCGUUCAGGCAGUCCUCGUAGGCAGCGGGGUAUUUGUGCUCGGGGGCCAGACGGUACCUGGGACACAGAGAGGCAAGUGUGAGAGAAGGGAAUGUUGUCAGUAGUAAUCAGGAAAUGGUGUCAUAUUUCUGCCCUUCAGCCCUAUCAUUUUGGGGUGCUCUUGUUCCACAUCACCUCCUAAGCAGGCACUCCUCAGUUUGUGACUGCACAUAAGCUGUAAAUUGUGUAUUCAGUCACAAGGACUCACUGAAGUAGGAUUGCCUCUGAUUAAGGAUCUGACCAAGGAAUUGUGCAAGGUCUUAGUCACACUCAAAACUUCCUCUGUACUCUUGCCAAGAAAAUUAAACAUUUUGUGCCUCUGCUUCCUAUGUUAAAA
Long non-coding RNA from Pseudopipra pipra, 1290 nucleotides. RefSeq lists it as uncharacterized. The record is from RefSeq and is a predicted model, not a curated record. The transcript is spliced from 2 exons. Lineage: Eukaryota; Metazoa; Chordata; Aves; Passeriformes; Pipridae.